Molecule: ribosomal RNA, 253 nt
Filed under: uncultured bacterium
Lineage: Bacteria
Description: partial 16S ribosomal RNA
Rfam family: Bacterial small subunit ribosomal RNA
Source: RNAcentral
UACGAAGGGGGCGAGCGUUGUUCGGAUUUACUGGGCGUAAAGGGCGCGCAGGCGGCUCAUUUUGUCAGGCGUGAAAGCCCCGGGCUUAACCUGGGAACUGCGUUUGAUACGGAUGGGCUAGAGUUCGGGAGAGGAGAGUGGAAUUCCCAGUGUAGAGGUGAAAUGCGUAGAUAUCAGGAGGAACACCGGUGGUGUAGACGGCUUUCUGGACCGUAACUGACGCUGAGACACGAAAGCGUGGGUAGCAAACAGG